CUCAGCCAAGAAACUCCUGAAGCUGUUCUGAACCGCAGUGGAGGCAGCCAAUUCGGGAGUCACCCGGAUGGUGCUGGGUGGAAAGGAGAAAAGGAAAGCCAAAUCAGAGACAGACAUGCACAAGGGGUGUGGGAGUGGCUCGGAGGAGCACAUCACCCACAGGAGAGGCUGCGUGAAAGUCUCAGAGAAGGCGGUUUUUCACACGUCCUAGGAAGACAUUCUAUCUCUCCCAGCCCCAGGGAACGAAAACACCCUUUCUGCCAGGGUCAGUGGAAAAGGAACUGUUCAGAAGGAUGAAAAUUCCUGGGAACGAAGGUGCACUCCAGAGCCAAGGCAAACCCAGAAUACAGAGUCAGCCACAGGCUUUCCCACCCCCAUCACCAUCCUCCCCUGGGAUAGUGUGAUAAGAACUCCAGCUGAUUUCCGGUUCUGCAGCAAAUCACUUGACCUCCUGGGCCAAGGAUUUCAUCUCAGUACAUGGGGCAGGUGGUCUUGGUCUCCUCCAGUGCUAACACCCCACAUUUCAACAUGCUAGAAAUAAGCUACAAUAAAUGAGACGUGAGGAAUAAACACAAAGCGCUGGAAAACCCAAAAGACUUCUAUGGGAAUGGGCUUUCACUUUGGCCACAGAUUUGCUUCCCAUUAUUUUUUUUAUCCAGUAUAAAAUUAAAACAAAUUCAUUCCAUAAAUAUUCUGGGUGAUGGAGGGA
Molecule: long non-coding RNA, 709 nt
Organism: Choloepus didactylus (southern two-toed sloth)
Lineage: Eukaryota; Metazoa; Chordata; Mammalia; Pilosa; Megalonychidae
Exons: 3
Source: RefSeq, a predicted model, not a curated record